Molecule: long non-coding RNA, 565 nt
Organism: Antechinus flavipes (yellow-footed antechinus)
Lineage: Eukaryota; Metazoa; Chordata; Mammalia; Dasyuromorphia; Dasyuridae
Exons: 2
Source: RefSeq, a predicted model, not a curated record
GCAGCCCGGGGCUCGCGGCCCCCCGGAUCGCGGCGGGCUCCCGGAUUCCGGGGCGGGCCGCUGCGCCCCGCCAGGGGCCCCCGACUCCGCAGAGCUCGCCCCCUCCUCACUGUCACUCCCCCCCCCCCCACCCGGGCCGACUUGGUUCAGUCCAGCCCGAGUGCACCUAAUAGCUUCCAAGAUCUAUGUCGUACAUGGUUGGAGCUCGGGCUGGCUGCUGCCAUAGCAACCCAGGCAAAAGCCUCACUCCUCUCUAGCUAAAUGCAUCUAUCAAUACUCUAAGUAGCAACCGGGACGGCCCAAACCAUCAUGAAGGUGAGGUGAGUGGUCAGAAAAGGAGACCCAGAGUCACAGAGUGAGAGUGAAGAGGACCAAACAGAAGGGAGAGGCAGAAUGGAGCUGAGCCAGGGGGCAUUCACAACAGCGGAAAGAGACACACGCAGAGGUCUGAUAAGAUGAACUGGCGUGGAGCAGUUGUGAUCAGCACUGAUAGAAAGGAACACUCGGAUCAGUGAGAUUACGGCCCCACUGGAGCUGAUAAUUAAACAUCUCUGUUUUGCGAAAA